AUGAACGCUGGCGGCGUGCCUAAUACAUGCAAGUCGAGCGAACAGACGAGGAGCUUGCUCCUCUGACGUUAGCGGCGGACGGGUGAGUAACACGUGGAUAACCUACCUAUAAGACUGGGAUAACUUUGGGAAACCGGAGCUAAUACCGGAUAAUAUAUUGAACCGCGUGGUUCAAUAGUGAAAGACGGUUUUGCUGUCACUUAUAGAUGGAUCCGCGCCGCAUUAGCUAGUUGGUAAGGUAACGGCUUACCAAGGCAACGAUGCGUAGCCGACCUGAGAGGGUGAUCGGCCACACUGGAACUGAGACACGGUCCAGACUCCUACGGGAGGCAGCAGUAGGGAAUCUUCCGCAAUGGGCGAAAGCCUGACGGAGCAACGCCGCGUGAGUGAUGAAGGUCUUCGGAUCGUAAAACUCUGUUAUUAGGGAAGAACAAAUGUGUAAGUAACUAUGCACGUCUUGACGGUACCUAAUCAGAAAGCCACGGCUAACUACGUG
Molecule: ribosomal RNA, 496 nt
Filed under: uncultured bacterium
Lineage: Bacteria
Description: partial 16S ribosomal RNA
Rfam family: Bacterial small subunit ribosomal RNA
Source: RNAcentral